ACCUGGGAGGCUGCAAACUGUGGAAGCUGUACGCACGGUGUAGCAGACUAGCGGUUAGAGGAGACCCCUCCCAUGACACAACGCAGCAGCGGGGCCCGAGCACUGAGGAAAGCUGUACCUCCUUGCAAAGGACUAGAGGUUWSMGG
This 146-nucleotide long non-coding RNA is filed under the name dengue virus type 3. Its description in RNAcentral is "Dengue virus type 3 partial sfRNA3". The record is from RNAcentral. Lineage: Riboviria; Orthornavirae; Kitrinoviricota; Flasuviricetes; Amarillovirales; Flaviviridae.